CCUACGGGUGGCAGCAGUGAGGAAUAUUGGUCAAUGGCCGGAAGGCUGAACCAGCCAAGCCGCGUGAAGGACGAAGGUGCCACGCAUUGUAAACUUCUUUUGUCAAGGGACAAAAUCCGGCUCGAGAGCCUUACCGAGGGUACUUGACGAAAAAGCAUCGGCGAACUCCGUGCCAGCAGCCGCGGUAACACGGAGGAUGCAGGCGUUAUCCGGAUUUAUGGGGUUAAACGGGUGCGUAGGCGGACUGUUAAGUUAGCGGUAAAAGCCCGGGGCGCAACCCAGGCGAGCCGUUGAAACUGGCUGUCUAGAGUAGGCGAGAGGUAGGCGGAAUGCGCGGUGUAGCGGUGAAAUGCUUAGAGAUUGCGCAGAACUCUGAUUGCGAAGGCGACAUACCGGAAGAGAUCUGACGCUGAGGCACGAAAGCGUGGGUAUCGAACAGGAUUAGAUACCCGAGUAGUC
Molecule: ribosomal RNA, 459 nt
Filed under: uncultured bacterium
Lineage: Bacteria
Description: partial 16S ribosomal RNA
Rfam family: Bacterial small subunit ribosomal RNA
Source: RNAcentral